This 68-nucleotide transfer RNA is filed under the name Uromastyx ocellata. Lineage: Eukaryota; Metazoa; Chordata; Lepidosauria; Squamata; Agamidae. The record is from RNAcentral.
GGAAACGUGCCUGACAAAAGGGCUGUCUUGAUGUGACAAACAUAGAGGCUAACACCCUCUCGGUUCCC